Long non-coding RNA from Bactrocera dorsalis (oriental fruit fly), 676 nucleotides. RefSeq lists it as uncharacterized. The transcript is spliced from 4 exons. NCBI's taxonomy places the organism in Eukaryota, Metazoa, Arthropoda, Insecta, Diptera, Tephritidae. The record is from RefSeq and is a predicted model, not a curated record.
UUCUGGCAACUGGACGUGCAAAAAUCAAGGAAGGCACGCUAAUUAUAACUGCAGUCGAUCGGUCUGACAGUGGAGCCUUCUUCUGCACUGCCACCAACUCGGAAGGCAGUGAAACUUUGGAAGUAUAAAUUGCCGUUACAUCACCGCUCACUGCCAGCAUCCAACCCACCGUGCAAACAGUGAAUCUGGACAAAACCGCAAACUUGAUUUGCAGCAUUUCGGGCUUCCCAAAACAGAGUGUUCUUUGGCUCUGGAUGAUCAGCCACUGCGUUCUGGCGCACGCGUCCGUCUACUCUCCACAGAGCACAUACGCAUUACGUCCAUUACGAAGGAGGACAAGGGAAUGUAUCAGUGCAUUGUGAAAAAUUAUUUGGAGUCGGUCUAAGCCACAGCGGAAUUGCUACUAGGAGAGGUGGCACCGCAACUAAUCUACAAAUUCAUCGAACAGACCAUUCAACCCGGACCGUCAGUUUCACUGAAGUGUAGUGCCAGUGGCAAUCCAACACCGAAAAUUGUCUGACACUUGGAUGGAUUUCCGCUACCAAAUUUAUGGAAUGAAAACUAUUUUUCACGACUAUUUACGUCGGUAAAAUGUGAACAGUUAUAUUCGCUAUGGUUUUAUCCACAGGCCGCUAACCGACUCAGGGAACGUGGUGUACGGAUGAAUUUUGAAGAC